AAAUUUCUGCCUUGUUCGAUAUAAUAUAGUUUUUUAUAAUCCAACACAUAUUCUAAGGGAAUUCAGCUCCGGCUGUGGAUUGCAGACCUCCCGCCAUGCGGAAGAAGGGAGCGUGAAGCAAUCGGGCGUUUACCCACCUGCUUCGUGCGGGUUUUAUUCGCUAUAUAAACGGCAAGGCGGAUUUUUU
This 187-nucleotide non-coding RNA is filed under the name Ruminococcus sp. RNAcentral describes it as "6S RNA". It matches the Rfam family "6S / SsrS RNA". Rfam says of the family: E. coli 6S RNA was the first non coding RNA to be sequenced, but its function was unknown until recently. Lineage: Bacteria; Bacillati; Bacillota; Clostridia; Eubacteriales; Oscillospiraceae. The record is from RNAcentral.